AUGCCAUGUUCGUCUUUAAAAUUCCUAAAAGAAAUUGCAAAGGAAUCAUUGACGCGAUGUCACAUUUCUGGUGGGGUGACGGAGACAAUCAGAAGAGAAUGCAUUGGAUGGCGUGGUGGAAAAUGUGUGUACCAAAAGAUCAAGGUGGAAUUGGAUUCUGAGAUAUACACUGUUUUAAUUUGGCCUUGGUAG
This 192-nucleotide ribosomal RNA is filed under the name Triticum aestivum (bread wheat). RNAcentral describes it as "partial small subunit ribosomal RNA". Lineage: Eukaryota; Viridiplantae; Streptophyta; Magnoliopsida; Poales; Poaceae. The record is from RNAcentral.